Molecule: transfer RNA, 72 nt
Filed under: Sus scrofa (pig)
Lineage: Eukaryota; Metazoa; Chordata; Mammalia; Artiodactyla; Suidae
Rfam family: tRNA
About the family: Transfer RNA (tRNA) molecules are approximately 80 nucleotides in length. Their secondary structure includes four short double-helical elements and three loops (D, anti-codon, and T loops). Further hydrogen bonds mediate the characteristic L-shaped molecular structure. tRNAs have two regions of fundamental functional importance: the anti-codon, which is responsible for specific mRNA codon recognition, and the 3' end, to which the tRNAs corresponding amino acid is attached (by aminoacyl-tRNA synthetases). tRNAs cope with the degeneracy of the genetic code in two manners: having more than one tRNA (with a specific anti-codon) for a particular amino acid; and 'wobble' base-pairing, i.e. permitting non-standard base-pairing at the 3rd anti-codon position.
Source: Rfam by way of RNAcentral
UCCCUGGUGGUCCAGUGGUUAGGACUCAGCACUUUCUCUGCUGAGGCCUGGGUUCAAUCCCAGGGCUGGGAA